This 449-nucleotide ribosomal RNA is filed under the name uncultured bacterium. RNAcentral's name for it is "partial 16S ribosomal RNA". It matches the Rfam family "Bacterial small subunit ribosomal RNA", at positions 29 to 523 of the family's 1533-position model. The record is from RNAcentral.
AAUGAACGCUGGCGGCAGGCCUAACACAUGCAAGUCGAACGGAUCCUUCGGGAUUAGUGGCGGACGGGCGAGUAACGCGUGGGAACAUACCCUUUGGUACGGAAUAGCCUCGGGAAACUGGGAGUAAUACCGUAUGUGGUCGAGAGACGAAAGAUUUAUCGCCAAAGGAUUGGCCCGCGUUGGAUUAGGUAGUUGGUGGGGUAAUGGCCUACCAAGCCGACGAUCCAUAGCUGGUUUGAGAGGAUGAUCAGCCACACUGGGACUGAGACACGGCCCAGACUCCUACGGGAGGCAGCAGUGUGGAAUCUGAGACAAUGGGGUAAACCCUGAUCUAGCCAUGCCGCGUGAUCGAUGAAGGCCUUAGGGUUGUAAAGAUCUUUCAGGUGGGAAGAUAAUGACUGUACCACCAGAAGAAGCCCCGGCUAACUCCGUGCCAGCCGCCGCAGUAA